CCUACGGGAGGCAGCAGUGGGGAAUAUUGCGCAAUGGGCGCAAGCCUGACGCAGCGACGCCGCGUGAGGGAUGAAGGUCUUCGGAUCGUAAACCUCUGUCAGCAGGGAAGAACGGUCACUGUGCUAAUCAGCAGUGAAUUGACGGUACCUGCAAAGGAAGCACCGGCUAACUCCGUGCCAGCAGCCGCGGUAAUACGGAGGGUGCGAGCGUUAAUCGGAAUUACUGGGCGUAAAGCGCCCGUAGGCGGUAUGUCAAGUCAAGGGUGAAAUCCCCGCGCUCAACGUGGGAACUGCGUUUGAAACUGGCAAGCUGGAGUGUGUGAGAGGAUAGUGGAAUUCGAGGUGUAGGAGUGAAAUGCGUAGAUAUCUGGAGGAACAUCGGUGGCGAAGGCGACUAUCUGGCACAUCACUGACGCUGAGGAGCGAAAGCGUGGGUAGCAAACAGGAUUAGAUACCCGGGUAGUC
RNAcentral lists this ribosomal RNA (465 nucleotides) under uncultured bacterium. RNAcentral's name for it is "partial 16S ribosomal RNA". It matches the Rfam family "Bacterial small subunit ribosomal RNA", at positions 338 to 795 of the family's 1533-position model. The record is from RNAcentral.